UGGAACCUGCUGUUUGCAGCGGGUCGACCCGGGUCGGGUCGGAACCGGGUCGGGUCAACAGGAUAUAUUUACCCUCUUUUUUUUUCUAUUUCUAUUUUUUCUUCUUUUUCUCUCUAUUUUUUCGGGUUGAAAUCUAGCCCUUUUUUCUUUCGCCGCCGUCGGUGUCUUUUGAGCACGGUGGUGGGACAGGCGCCGGUGCUCUCCCUUCCCUCCUUUCUUCCUCUUCUUCCUUCUCUUCCUUCUUCUUUACUGUUUGGGUUGUUUUUGUCUUUUUGCUGGCUGUUUUUUUUUUGUUUUCUUCUUGCUUGUUUGUGUAGGUGCGACGGUGGUGAGAAGAAUGCCAAGGCAUGGCGGUGGGCACGGUGGUGGUGAAGGCGGUGGUGGCAGAGGAGUCAUCAUGGCCUAGGGAGGCUGCUGGAGUAGCUCGGCUGGGAGGGGUACGCUCGGCUGCUGAUUGCGGGGAUUAGACAAGUGCAGGAGGACCAAAUUGCAGAGGAUGCAAAGCUUCUGGGGCAAAAGUGCAAUUUUAGCAAAAAUAUGGGCCAAAAUGUAAUUUUUGGAAAGUUUAGGACCUUGAACGUAAUUUACAAAAUAUUAGGGGUCAAGAUGCAAAUUUGGAAAAAUUUAGGGGUCAAAAUGUAAUUUUUGAAGAAUUCGGGGGCUAAAAUGUAAUUUAUCUUGUAUUUUUUUGAUUUA
Molecule: long non-coding RNA, 696 nt
Organism: Gossypium raimondii (Peruvian cotton)
Lineage: Eukaryota; Viridiplantae; Streptophyta; Magnoliopsida; Malvales; Malvaceae
Exons: 2
Source: RefSeq, a predicted model, not a curated record